CCUACGGGUUGCAGCAGUGGGGAAUAUUGCACAAUGGGCGCAAGCCUGAUGCAGCCAUGCCGCGUGUGUGAAGAAGGCCUUCGGGUUGUAAAGCACUUUCAGUCGUGAGGAAGGUGGUAGUGUUAAUAGCACUAUCAUUUGACGUUAGCGACAGAAGAAGCACCGGCUAACUCCGUGCCAGCAGCCGCGGUAAUACGGAGGGUGCGAGCGUUAAUCGGAAUUACUGGGCGUAAAGCGCAUGCAGGUGGUUUGUUAAGUCAGAUGUGAAAGCCCGGGGCUCAACCUCGGAAUAGCAUUUGAAACUGGCAGACUAGAGUACUGUAGAGGGGGGUAGAAUUUCAGGUGUAGCGGUGAAAUGCGUAGAGAUCUGAAGGAAUACCGGUGGCGAAGGCGGCCCCCUGGACAGAUACUGACACUCAGAUGCGAAAGCGUGGGGAGCAAACAGGAUUAGAUACCCGAGUAGUC
This 465-nucleotide ribosomal RNA is filed under the name uncultured bacterium. RNAcentral describes it as "bacterial SSU rRNA". It matches the Rfam family "Bacterial small subunit ribosomal RNA", at positions 338 to 795 of the family's 1533-position model. The record is from RNAcentral.